RNAcentral lists this ribosomal RNA (486 nucleotides) under uncultured bacterium. RNAcentral describes it as "partial 16S ribosomal RNA". It matches the Rfam family "Bacterial small subunit ribosomal RNA", at positions 30 to 507 of the family's 1533-position model. The record is from RNAcentral.
AUUGAACGCUGGCGGCAUGCCUUACACAUGCAAGUCGAACGGCAGCACGGGUGCUUGCACCUGGUGGCGAGUGGCGAACGGGUGAGUAAUACAUCGGAACAUGUCCUGUAGUGGGGGAUAGCCCGGCGAAAGCCGGAUUAAUACCGCAUACGAUAUACGGAUGAAAGCGGGGGACCUUCGGGCCUCGCGCUAUAGGGUUGGCCGAUGGCUGAUUAGCUAGUUGGUGGGGUAAAGGCCUACCAAGGCGACGAUCAGUAGAUGGUCUGAGAGGACGACCAGCCACACUGGGACUGAGACACGGCCCAGACUCCUACGGGAGGCAGCAGUGGGGAAUUUUGGACAAUGGGCGAAAGCCUGAUCCAGCAAUGCCGCGUGUGUGAAGAAGGCCUUCGGGUUGUAAAGCACUUUUGUCCGGAAAGAAAGCCUUGGCUCUAAUACAGUCGGGGGAUGACGGUACCGGAAGAAUAAGCACCGGCUAACUACGUG